AACGAACGCUGGCGGCAUGCCUAACACAUGCAAGUCGAACGAGACCUUCGGGUCUAGUGGCGCACGGGUGCGUAACGCGUGGGAACCUGCCCUUAGGUUCGGAAUAACUCCCCGAAAGGGGUGCUAAUACCGGAUAAUGUCUUCGGACCAAAGAUUUAUCGCCUUUGGAUGGGCCCGCGUUGGAUUAGCUAGUUGGUAGGGUAAAAGCCUACCAAGGCGACGAUCCAUAGCUGGUCUGAGAGGAUGAUCAGCCACACUGGGACUGAGACACGGCCCAGACUCCUACGGGAGGCAGAAGUGGGGAAUAUUGGACAAUGGGCGAAAGCCUGAUCCAGCAAUGCCGCGGGAGUGAUGAAGGCCUUAGGGUUGUAAAGCUCUUUUACCCGGGAUGAUAAUGACAGUACCGGGAGAAUAAGCUCCGGCUAACUCCGU
RNAcentral lists this ribosomal RNA (432 nucleotides) under uncultured bacterium. RNAcentral describes it as "partial 16S ribosomal RNA". It matches the Rfam family "Bacterial small subunit ribosomal RNA", at positions 29 to 506 of the family's 1533-position model. The record is from RNAcentral.